UCGGCCUGCCGCCGCCACGGGGGCCUCUGACACUGCGCGCCAGGCCAGGUUCCGGAAGGCAGCCUGCGCGGGCGGGGAGCGCGGGCCCGGGAGGCCCCCGCGCGCCGGGCUGCCUGCAGCAGGGGGCUCGCACGAACGUCUUCCCCCGCCAACCUCCCAGCGCUGGGGUGCGGGCUAGGACGGGGUGGGGGGACAGUGGCGCCCAGCGCGGAACAGCGCAGGAGCCGGGCGCAACGCCGCACGCGGGGACCCAGGUUGCGGGGGCUCUGUCUCUGUGUGAGCCAGCCUGCGGGAAGCCUCGUCUGGCAGAAGGUGACCCAGAGAAAGGAAUUCUAACGCUUCUCUCAGAGGUCAGCCGACUGUUUCUGUAACGGGGCAGAGAGGGGGUGUCUGGGGGUCUGUGUCACCGGGACUGAAGCCUGCCGUCGCAACGCUGAGGCAGCCGGAGACGACUCGGAAGCAAACGGGCGCGCGGGGCUCCCGCAGAGCCCUGUUGGCAGCGCAGGUGGGCCUCGGCCGCCCCUGCUCUGUGUGGGCUCUUGGCAGUCCCUCAACCUGGAUGCCAGACCAUCCUCAGCUGCAGCCUGUGCCAUGAAAUAUGUCUGUCCCGCCGGUGCCUGACUCUGGGCAGAGUUUCUCAGGGGCAAGACCCCACGCCCCGCGCUCAGCCCCAGCCUGCAGGCUCGUCUUGCGCCGUCUUCCCGCCUUUCUCCCAUUUCACAGGCACAUAAACUGAGGCUCCAGCAGCCUGCCUCUUGUUCAGAGCCAGGCCGUGUGUAAGCGAGGGGGCUGGAAUCCAAGCCGGGGCUGCACGGUGGUGACCCCCGCCCCCAUCCCAGCGCACCUCUGCCUGGGCGCCCGCCCCCUCCCCGUGGCCCCAACCCCUCUGUCCACCUCCACUUCCUGUGGCCACUCAGGGAAUUUGCAUCUGGGGCCAAAGCAUGAGCGUCAGUGACACCCGAGGCCCCCGUUCACUCUGGGACCCCCAAUAUUGUCGUGCACUGGAUACCUUCCAGCCAGCAACAGCCGGGGCCGAGGAGUUCGGGCUGGGAGGGGGAUAAUGAGGGCCCGUGAGACCCAGUGGCAGGUGCUAGGUCCUCUGCAAAGUGGGAUGAGCCGAGUCCUAACUGCCUUGUGGCUGUCUUUGCCGUGCACAAGCCCUGUGCGCAGAAUGUCCUAGAAAGCCCCCUUCAUGGUGGCUCCGUUGCCCUGUCCUAGGGGACAGGGCUGAGGCCCAGAGAUACUGAGUCACCAUCUCAUGUUGCAGAGCCGAGUUCCAGGCCGCCACACGCACUGCCUUUGGUCACUCUGCUGGGCUGGAUAGUGUCCCCCAAACUCACGUCCUACCCAGACGCAGGGCCUUUGGAAAUA
Molecule: long non-coding RNA, 1371 nt
Filed under: Sus scrofa (pig)
Lineage: Eukaryota; Metazoa; Chordata; Mammalia; Artiodactyla; Suidae
Description: lncRNA (ENSSSCG00060042318.1)
Source: RNAcentral